RNAcentral lists this ribosomal RNA (771 nucleotides) under uncultured bacterium. Its description in RNAcentral is "bacterial SSU rRNA". It matches the Rfam family "Bacterial small subunit ribosomal RNA", at positions 8 to 796 of the family's 1533-position model. The record is from RNAcentral.
AGAGUUUGAUCAUGGCUCAGGACGAACGCUGGCGGCGUGCUUAACACAUGCAAGUCGAACGGAAAGGCCCUUCGGGGUACUCGAGUGGCGAACGGGUGAGUAACACGUGGGUGAUCUGCCCUGCACUUUGGGAUAAGCCUGGGAAACUGGGUCUAAUACCGAAUAUGACCAUGCACUUCCUGGUGUGUGGUGGAAAGCUUUUGCGGUGUGGGAUGGGCCCGCGGCCUAUCAACUUGUUGGUGGGGUAAUGGCCUACCAAGGCGACGACGGGUAGCCGGCCUGAGAGGGUGACCGGCCACACUGGGACUGAGAUACGGCCCAGACUCCUACGGGAGGCAGCAGUGGGGAAUAUUGCACAAUGGGCGCAAGCCUGAUGCAGCGACGCCGCGUGAGGGAUGACGGCCUUCGGGUUGUAAACCUCUUUCAGCACAGACGAAGCGCAAGUGACGGUAUGUGCAGAAGAAGGACCGGCCAACUACGUGCCAGCAGCCGCGGUAAUACGUAGGGUCCGAGCGUUGUCCGGAAUUACUGGGCGUAAAGAGCUCGUAGGUGGUUUGUCGCGUUGUUCGUGAAAACUCACAGCUUAACUGUGGGCGUGCGGGCGAUAUGGGCAGACUUGAGUACUGCAGGGGAGACUGGAAUUCCUGGUGUAGCGGUGGAAUGCGCAGAUAUCAGGAGGAACACCGGUGGCGAAGGCGGGUCUCUGGGCAGUAACUGACGCUGAGGAGCGAAAGCGUGGGGAGCGAACAGGAUUAGAUACCCCGGUAGUCC